CAACCCCUGUGCACUUCGUCGGAGUCAAUGGGUCGCUCUUGCGGCUUUUGGCUUUGACUUAUCAUUUACAAACGCUUUACUUGUCUUGUAGAAUGUAAUGCCUCUUGUUGGGCGAAAUUAAAUACAACUUUCAACAACGGAUCUCUUGGCUCUCGCAUCGAUGAAGAACGCAGCGAAAUGCGAUAAGUAAUGUGAAUUGCAGAAUUCAGUGAAUCAUCGAAUCUUUGAACGCACCUUGCGCUCCUUGGCAUUCCGAGGAGCAUGCCUGUUUGAGUGUCAUGUUAAUCUCAAUCCCUUGGGUUUGUUAUGAACUCUUGAGAUUGGACUUGGAGGUUACUGCUGGCUUCACCGUCGGCUCCUCUUGAAUGUAUUAGCUGGGCCUUUAGCCUCGCGCUCGUGGUGUGAUAGUUUAUUCACCUUGAGUGUGGCUUGUAUGGGUCUGCUUCUAAUCGUCUUAAAACGACAAUACCUUGACUCUCUGACCUCAAAUCAGGUAGGACUACCCGCUGAACUUAAGCAUAUCAAUAAGCGGAG
RNAcentral lists this ribosomal RNA (534 nucleotides) under Cyanotrama gypsea. RNAcentral describes it as "eukaryotic LSU rRNA". The stretch from base 126 to 279 matches the Rfam family "5.8S ribosomal RNA". The record is from RNAcentral. Lineage: Eukaryota; Fungi; Basidiomycota; Agaricomycetes; Hymenochaetales.